AUGUGACAUAAAUAAGGAACAGUACAAUUCAUGAACCACAAAAUCAACAAAAUUCAAUAAAUUGUUUCACCUUUGAAAUUAUUUUUCCAAUUUAUUAUCAAUUUAUUAUUUUUGUCAAAGACAAAAUUAUUUGACAACAUCGUUGGAAAAAGCUACUAGUACUUGACACUUCAAAUUUUUUACAAAAAACGACGGAAAUAACAGAAGACGAAUUCAACAAAUCUUCCAAAGAGGUUGUAGGAGGAAGCCAUAUUAUACAGGCCCUUAAAGAAUUGGUAGGAGAAAGUGAUGAUGAUAGUUUAAUGUGUAUACAGUAGGUAUAAUGCAUGAUUUCAAUUGGCCUUAUUCAAAAAUUAAAAUAAAAUAUGAAAGUUUGCAGGCAAAAAGUAGGAACAUUUUCAUUAAAAGUAGAAUAAUAGAAACUACUUUAAAUGAACUGUAACUAACUUUUUAUGUCAAAAAAGAUUAAAUUAAUCUGCUACACUUUCACUUGACAUCUUGUGCACAUUUGCAAGUUUGCCCGUCAAGAACAAUUUCCAUCCUUUGUAAAGUUGCAUAAUUGGAGGUUUCCUAUGUGUUUAUUUACCGGUAUUAUGGCAAAUCGUAUAGAAGACGAUCAGCUUCAUGUCAUCACAAGCAGGUUCACAAGGGAAAGAAACCACUAGUGAAAUUUAUAAAAUAUAAUUUUCACUGUAGCCGGACUGUAUCUGAAUGCGGAUGAAAAGAAAAUCAUAACUAAAUGGAAUAACAGGCACAAAUAAAUAUCGGCGUACAUAAAUUUUGCUUCUUUAGGAAAAGAAAGUCAAUGUCAUCAUACAUGUUAAAAAUUUAACAAAAUUAGAGAAAUUAAACAGAACUAUAUUUCAAAAUUUAUGAUAUGACGUCAUGAUAUAAUGACGUCACAAAGGAGAAUGCACAACAUUACGCGGCACAAUCAUUUAAAAAACAAGAGCCGCCGCCAGGCAGGGGCAAUGCACGACUUAUUACUUUCUCUAAAUGAUGUGCCGCAACAACUAAUCCCCCCCCCCCCUUAGAUGAACUAAAUCUCAGGAAAUGUUUUUUAAGUGUAUAAUUAUUCCAUCUUAAGAUAAUACUCGGUUUUAAGUCAUUUUUGUCAUUUUUACUUUGAUGACAUUUUCUUCUAAUUAACAGAUUAAAUUAAACAUGUCAAUAAUUUUGUUUCUAAUGAAAGGUCUGUAAUGAAAUUAUUGGAUAAAUUAAUAUUAUAAUACGUACUGGACAUUUUACAAACAAUAAAAGAACUUAUACAUAGAUGUUAUGCAGUUAUGGGUAAUAAGGAGACAUUUUAAUUCUUUUGAUGAUUUUGAUUCCUGUGAUAUGAUGGGAAAAAAAUUAAAUAUAUCUAUAAACACUUCAGUCUAUAUUAUUUUAUUACAGAAUCUAACACUCAGCAGACAUGUAUGCAAAAUAAAAAUAAGAAUGAAGCUAUACUGCCAGUGAAGGCUGUUGCAGAAAGGAGCAAAGGAAAGAAAAGAAAAUUUGAGGUAACAUAUUAGGUUUUGGAUGCAAUAAAAAUUAUUCCUUAAAGACUGUUCUGUAGAAGAUAUUUGUUGGUUUUGUAUUUAAGAUUGAAAGUAUUUCAUAUUAAGUGAACACCAGCUUCAACAUGAACAUGGUGUUAACAGGCAUUCAUGAAAUGAUUUUGAAAAAAAUCCUGGAAAAACAACCAAUUAUUGAUAUUACUUAUUUUAAGUAUCUGGCAAGAGCACUUUUUUAUAUUUUUAUAAGAUAUUCAUAUUUUCCUUCCAGGGAAAAGGAACAACUAAAGAAAAGCAUGGUAAAGAAAUAGAAUUAGCUGCUGCUGAGUUGGAGUUGACAGAACUUGAAGAGAGUCUGUCAACUCCAAAUCCAGAAAAGGAAAUUGCCUGCCAAAGUGAGGCAACUAACACCUUCAGUGAACACUUAAAUAGUGAAAAAACUGACAGUCUUCCGGUCUCAGUCCGAGAAUCGCUAGAAAUAGCUAAUGGAAGUGGACCCCCUGUGAAAGUACCUAGAUAUCAGGAGCCUGCUAUCCAACCUGUCCAUGUCCCUGCAGUGAAUGGAUACCUGGAGCAAAAAGUACAAAUGUUGCAGCAAGAGCUUUACCAAGCUAACUGCAGGAUAGCUAACUUGGAAUCGAGUUACACGUGGUUAUGGAAUGCUUUCCAACAGAUGCAGAGCAAUGGUGCCCAACCCCACCAGAAUGUAAAUACUCCUGAUUAUGGAGAAAGUUCAAUGUGUAGCAGUUCUGAUGCACAAGCAAGUAUAUUUUAUAUAAAAUAAUCCUUUUUAUUUAUCAUAAGAAAUAAAAAAAAGGGUUCAACUUCUAGAAACUUACAGGUUCAAAUGAAAAUCAAGGUGUUAAUGUUGAUUUUGAAGAAAGCAAUUAUUGGUAGCUGCAGUAACUUAUAAAAUAAGAAUUGCAAUUUAGGUACUUUUGGAUAUAAAAUUUGUUGUAAUUUUUUAAAUUUUAUAGUUAUAUAAAAUUGUUGUUUGGUUAUAU
Molecule: long non-coding RNA, 2503 nt
Organism: Ruditapes philippinarum (Manila clam)
Lineage: Eukaryota; Metazoa; Mollusca; Bivalvia; Venerida; Veneridae
Exons: 4
Source: RefSeq, a predicted model, not a curated record